Molecule: ribosomal RNA, 402 nt
Filed under: bacterium
Lineage: Bacteria
Description: partial 16S ribosomal RNA
Rfam family: Bacterial small subunit ribosomal RNA
Source: RNAcentral
UCGGGAAUUUUGCACAAUGGGGGAAACCCUGAUGCAGCGACGCCGCGUGAUUUAGAAGGCCUUCGGGUUGUAAAAAUCUUUUUUACGGGAUGAAAAUGACAGUACCGUAAGAAUAAGGUCCGGCUAAAUACGUGCCAGCAGCCGCGGUAAUACGUAUGGACCGAGCGUUGUCCGGAAUCAUUGGGCGUAAAGGGUACGUAGGCGGCCUAGUAAGUUAGAAGUGAAAUAAUAUAGCUCAACUAUAUAAAGCUUUUAAAACUGCUAGGCUUGAGAGAUGGAAGGGAAAGUGGAAUUCCUAGUGUAGCGGUGAAAUGCGCAGAUAUUAGGAAGAAUACCGGUGGCGAAGGCGACUUUCUGGUCAUCAUCUGACGCUGAGGUACGAAAGCGUGGGUAGCAAACAGG